This 528-nucleotide ribosomal RNA is filed under the name uncultured Escherichia sp. RNAcentral's name for it is "bacterial SSU rRNA". It matches the Rfam family "Bacterial small subunit ribosomal RNA", at positions 505 to 1029 of the family's 1533-position model. The record is from RNAcentral. Lineage: Bacteria; Pseudomonadati; Pseudomonadota; Gammaproteobacteria; Enterobacterales; Enterobacteriaceae.
GUGCCAGCAGCUGCGGUAAUACGGAGGGUGCAAGCCGUUAAUCGGAAUUACUGGGCGUAAACGCGCACGCAGGCGGUUGAUUAAGUCGAGAUGUGAAAUCCCCGGGCUCAACCCGGGAACUGCAUCUGAUACUGGUCAGCUGGAGUCUCGUAGAGGGGAGGUAGAAUUCCAGGUGUAGCGGUGAAAUGCGUAGAGAUCUGGAGGAAUACCGGUGGCGAAGGCGGCCUCCUGGACGAAGACUGACGCUCAGGUGCGAAAGCGUGGGGAGCAAACAGGAUUAGAUACCCUGGUAGUCCACGCUGUAAACGAUGUCGACUUGGAGGUUGUGCCCAUGAGGCGUGGCUUCCGGAGCUAACGCGUUAAGUCGACCGCCUGGGGAGUACGGCCGCAAGGUUAAAACUCAAAUGAAUUGACGGGGCCCGCACAAGCGGUGGAGCAUGUGGUUUAAUUCGAUGCAACGCGAAGAACCUUACCUGGUCUUGACAUCCACAGAAGUUUCCAGAGAUGGGAAUGUGCCUUAGGGAGUCG